ACGAACGCUUGCGGCGUGCCUAAGAAAUGCAAGUCGAGCGAGCUCAAGCCUUCGGGCUGAAAGCUAGCGGCGAACGGUCGAGUAACACGUGAGCAACCUGCCCCAAAGCGGGGGAUAGCCCACCGAAAGGUGGAUUAAUACCGCAUGUGAUCCGCACCUGGCAUCUGGUGUUGAUUAAAGCAGCAAUGCGCUUUGGGAUGGGCUCGCGGCCUAUCAGUUUGUUGGUGGGGUGAUGGCCUACCAAGACGACGACGGGUAGCUGGUCUGAGAGGAUGGUCAGCCGGAUUGGGACUGAGAUACGGCCCAGACUCCUACGGGGGGCAGCAAUUAGGAAUCUUGCGCAAUGGGCGAAAGCCUGACGCAGCGACGCCGCGUGACCGACGAAGUCCUUCGGGAUGUAAAGGUCUUUUGCCGGGGAAGAAUAAAGUGACGGUACCCGGCGAAUAAGCUCCGGCUAACUACGU
Molecule: ribosomal RNA, 464 nt
Filed under: uncultured bacterium
Lineage: Bacteria
Description: bacterial SSU rRNA
Rfam family: Bacterial small subunit ribosomal RNA
Source: RNAcentral